GAUGAACGCUGGCGGCGUGCCUAAUACAUGCCAGUCGAGCGAACAGACGAGGAGCUUGCUCCUCUGACGUUAGCGGCGGACGGGUGAGUAACACGUGGAUAACCUACCUAUAAGACUGGGAUACUUCGGGAAACCGGAGCUAAUACCGGAUAAUAUAUUGAACCGCAUGGUUCAAUAGUGAAAGACGGUUUUGCUGUCACUUAUAGAUGGAUCCGCGCCGCAUUAGCUAGUUGGUAAGGUAACGGCUUACCAAGGCGACGAUGCGUAGCCGACCUGAGAGGGUGAUCGGCCACACUGGAACUGAGACACGGUCCAGACUCCUACGGGAGGCAGCAGUAGGGAAUCUUCCGCAAUGGGCGAAAGCCUGACGGAGCAACGCCGCGUGAGUGAUGAAGGUCUUCGGAUCGUAAAACUCUGUUAUUAGGGAAGAACAAAUGUGUAAGUAACUAUGCACGUCUUGACGGUACCUAAUCAGAAAGCCACGGCUAACUACGUG
This 496-nucleotide ribosomal RNA is filed under the name uncultured bacterium. RNAcentral describes it as "partial 16S ribosomal RNA". It matches the Rfam family "Bacterial small subunit ribosomal RNA", at positions 28 to 507 of the family's 1533-position model. The record is from RNAcentral.